This 253-nucleotide ribosomal RNA is filed under the name uncultured bacterium. RNAcentral's name for it is "partial 16S ribosomal RNA". It matches the Rfam family "Bacterial small subunit ribosomal RNA", at positions 524 to 776 of the family's 1533-position model. The record is from RNAcentral.
UACGGAGGGUGCGAGCGUUGUCCGGAAUCACUGGGCGUAAAGGGCGCGUAGGCGGCCUGAUAAGUAGGGGGUGAAAUCCUGCGGCUUAACCGCAGGGCUGCCUUCUAAACUGUCAGGCUAGAGCACGGUAGAGGCAGAUGGAAUUCCCGGUGUAGCGGUGGAAUGCGUAGAGAUCGAGAGGAACACCUGCGGCGAAGGCGGGUUGCUGGGCUGACACUGACGCUGAUGUGCGAAAGCUAGGGGAGCAAACAGG